RNAcentral lists this long non-coding RNA (1086 nucleotides) under Homo sapiens (human). RNAcentral's name for it is "HSALNT0162743". The record is from RNAcentral. Lineage: Eukaryota; Metazoa; Chordata; Mammalia; Primates; Hominidae.
AUUAAAAGUGCUACUCUAGUGAGCACACAAGAGAUAAGGAAGUACAACACCCUUGUUGCUGAUAUGGAGAAAGUUUGAGUGAUCUGAAUAGAAGAUUCAACCAGUCACUACAUUCCCUUAAGCCAAAGACCAAUCCUGAGCAAGGCUCUAGCUCCCUUCAAUUCUGUGAAGGCUGAGAGAAGUGAGGAAGCUGGAGAAGAAAAGUUGGAUGCUAGCAGAGGUUGGUUCCUGACAUUCAGGGAAAGAAGCUCUCUCCAUAACACAAAAGUGCAAGGCGAAGCAGCAAGUUAUCCAGAAGAGCCGCUAAGAUCAUUGAUUAAGAAAUGGGUACAGCUAACCUAAUUCUGAGCAACAACUACCCUGAUCAGUCAAUAGCCAACAACAAUGAGGCAAGACCUUCCACUAGCAAAAAGAUUACAACUUGCGGAAGGCUCAGGUAAUCAUUAGCAUUUUUAAGCAAUAAAGUAUUUUUUAACUAAGGUAAGUACUUUUUUUUUUUAACAUAUAAUGCUAUUGUGCAUUUAAUAGGCUACAGUAUAGUGUCAAUGUAACUUUUAGAUGCCCUAGAAAACCAAAAACAUCGUGUGACUUGCUUUAUUAUGAUACUCACUUUAUUGUGGUGGUCUAGAACUAAACCUACAAUAUCUCAGAGGUAUGCCUGUGACUAGUCUGGGCAUAAGUGCAAAAAUCCAGGCACUCAUUCAUAUACUGCUAGUAGGUACUGCAAUUAGCAUACCUUUCUGAAAAGCAAUUUGGCUGUGCUUAAAAUGUGAAAACUCUUUGAUGCAGUCAUUUCUGGAAAUUUAUUUUAAGAACAGAAACAUGGAUGUAUAAAAAUCCAUCUACAAUGGUAUUUUAAUAGCAAAAAUUGAAAACAAAUUACAUGUUUAAAGUAUAGAACAGUUUAGAUAAUGCAGUUAUGUUAUUAAAGUAUUCUGUAAUAAUUAAAUUAAUAUGGAGAAACAUUUGGAAUUCUCUAUGUACAAAUAUUUGAAAAAAGCAUAUUUCAGAACAUGCAUGGUAUGUUAUAAAUUACUUAGAGUAACAUCUCAUAUCUAAUCUAACCCUAGAUGGCUUAUCUGGGAA